GACGAACGCUGGCGGCGUGCUUAACACAUGCCAGUCGAACGGAAAGGCCCUGCUUUUGUGGGGUGCUCGAGUGGCGAACGGGUGAGUAACACGUGAGUAACCUGCCCUUGACUUUGGGAUAACUUCAGGAAACUGGGGCUAAUACCGGAUAGGAGCUCCUGCUGCAUGGUGGGGGUUGGAAAGUUUCGGCGGUUGGGGAUGGACUCGCGGCUUAUCAGCUUGUUGGUGGGGUAGUGGCUUACCAAGGCUUUGACGGGUAGCCGGCCUGAGAGGGUGACCGGCCACAAUGGGACUGAGAUACGGCCCAGACUCCUACGGGAGGCAGCAGUGGGGAAUAUUGCACAAUGGGCGGAAGCCUGAUGCAGCCACGCCGCGUGCGGGAUGACGGCCUUCGGGUUGUAAACCGCUUUCGCCUGUGACGAAGCGUGAGUGACGGUAAUGGGUAAAGAAGCACCGGCUAACUACGUG
Molecule: ribosomal RNA, 468 nt
Filed under: uncultured bacterium
Lineage: Bacteria
Description: partial 16S ribosomal RNA
Rfam family: Bacterial small subunit ribosomal RNA
Source: RNAcentral